Molecule: non-coding RNA, 136 nt
Organism: Euleptes europaea (tarantolino)
Lineage: Eukaryota; Metazoa; Chordata; Lepidosauria; Squamata; Sphaerodactylidae
Source: RefSeq, a predicted model, not a curated record
GUGGCUGCAAUGAAUAUAGGCUGCAUUUGUUAGCAAUACAGUGCAUCCCCUCUGCAGCCACAUACAUUAACUAGAUGGUUCCUGCCGACAGGGUCUGUCAAGUAAUCAGAUUUUCUGUGCGAUGGCUCCAUACACU